UACGGAGGGGGCUAGCGUUGUCCGGAAUUAUUGGGCGUAAAGCGCGCGCAGGUGGUUUCUUAAGUCUGAUGUGAAAGCCCACGGCUCAACCGUGGAGGGUCAUUGGAAACUGGGGAACUUGAGUGCAGAAGAGGAAAGUGGAAUUCCAAGUGUAGCGGUGAAAUGCGUAGAGAUUUGGAGGAACACCAGUGGCGAAGGCGACUUUCUGGUCUGUAACUGACACUGAGGCGCGAAAGCGUGGGGAGCGAACAGG
This 253-nucleotide ribosomal RNA is filed under the name uncultured bacterium. RNAcentral describes it as "partial 16S ribosomal RNA". It matches the Rfam family "Bacterial small subunit ribosomal RNA", at positions 524 to 776 of the family's 1533-position model. The record is from RNAcentral.